GAUGAACGCUAGCUACAGGCUUAACACAUGCAAGUCGAGGGGCAGCAUUUUUAGUUUGCUUGCAAACUAAAGAUGGCGACCGGCGCACGGGUGAGUAAACACGUAUCCAACCUGCCGAUAACUCGGGGAUAGCCUUUCGAAAGAAAGAUUAAUAUCCGAUAGCAUAUUAGAACCGCAUGGUUUUACUAUUAAAGAAUUUCGGUUAUCGAUGGGGAUGCGUUCCAUUAGUUUGUUGGCGGGGUAACGGCCCACCAAGACAACGAUGGAUAGGGGUUCUGAGAGGAAGGUCCCCCACAUUGGAACUGAGACACGGUCCAAACUCCUACGGGAGGCAGCAGUGAGGAAUAUUGGUCAAUGGACGAGAGUCUGAACCAGCCAAGUAGCGUGAAGGAUGACUGCCCUAUGGGUUGUAAAACUUCUUUUAUAUGGGGAAUAAAGUAUUCCACGUGUGGGAUUUUGUAUGUACCCAUAUGAAUAAGGGAUCGGGCUAACUCCGUGCCAGCAGCCG
Molecule: ribosomal RNA, 508 nt
Filed under: uncultured bacterium
Lineage: Bacteria
Description: bacterial SSU rRNA
Rfam family: Bacterial small subunit ribosomal RNA
Source: RNAcentral